GCGCGAAACCUCUGCAAUGCGCGAAAGCGUGACAGGGGAACUCUGAGUGCUACACCACGCGUGUAGCUUUUUGCAAGCUUAAGUCGCUUGUAGAAUAAGGGCUGGGCAAGACUAGUGCCAGCCGCCGCGGUAACACUAGCGGCCCGAGUGGUGUCCACGAAUAUUGGGUCUAAAGAGUCCGUAGCUGGCCCGUUAAGUUUCCUGUGAAAUCUCAGGGCUCAACUCUGAGGCGUGCAGGAAAUACUGGCGAGGCUUGAGAGCGGGGGAGGUCAAGAGUACUCAUGGGGUAGCGGUAAAAUGUUGUAAUCCUAUGAGGACUUCCAGUGGCGAAGGCGCUUGACCAAAACGCGUCUGACAGUGAGGGACGAAGGCUAGGAGAACGAAUCGG
This 388-nucleotide ribosomal RNA is filed under the name uncultured bacterium. RNAcentral's name for it is "bacterial SSU rRNA". It matches the Rfam family "Archaeal small subunit ribosomal RNA", at positions 339 to 727 of the family's 1478-position model. The record is from RNAcentral.